AACGAACGCUGGCGGCAGGCCUAACACAUGCAAGUCGAACGAGUAAGAGCCGUAGCAAUACGGAGUUCUGCUAGUGGCGCACGGGUGAGUAACGCGUGGGAACGUGCCUUGGAGUUCGGGAUAACAGUUGGAAACGACUGCUAAUACCGAAUAUUCCCUCAGGGGGAAAGAUUUAUCGCUCCAAGAUCGGCCCGCGUAAGAUUAGGUAGUUGGUGGGGUAAUGGCCUACAAGCCUACGAUCUUUAGCUGGUCUGAGAGGACGACCAGCCACACUGGAACUGAGACACGGCCCAGACUCCUACGGGAGGCAGCAGUGGGGAAUAUUGGACAAUGGGCGAAAGCCUGAUCCAGCCAUGCCGCGUG
This 363-nucleotide ribosomal RNA is filed under the name uncultured bacterium. RNAcentral's name for it is "bacterial SSU rRNA". It matches the Rfam family "Bacterial small subunit ribosomal RNA", at positions 29 to 403 of the family's 1533-position model. The record is from RNAcentral.